AUUGAACGCUGGCGGCAUGCCUUACACAUGCAAGUCGAACGGCAGCAUGGAGAGCUUGCUCUCUGAUGGCGAGUGGCGAACGGGUGAGUAAAGCAUCGGAACGUACCGUGUAGUGGGGGAUAACGUAGCGAAAGUUACGCUAAUACCGCAUACGCACUGAGGUGGAAAGCAGGGGAUCGUAAGACCUUGCGCUAUACGAGCGGCCGAUGUCAGAUUAGCUAGUUGGUAGGGUAAAGGCCUACCAAGGCGACGAUCUGUAGCGGGUCUGAGAGGAUGAUCCGCCACACUGGGACUGAGACACGGCCCAGACUCCUACGGGAGGCAGCAGUGGGGAAUUUUGGACAAUGGGGGCAACCCUGAUCCAGCCAUGCCGCGUGAGUGAAGAAGGCCUUCGGGUUGUAAAGCUCUUUCGGCCGGGAAGAAAUCGCACAGGCUAAUACCCUGUGUGGAUGACGGUACCGGCAUAAGAAGCACCGGCUAACUACGUG
This 488-nucleotide ribosomal RNA is filed under the name uncultured bacterium. RNAcentral's name for it is "partial 16S ribosomal RNA". It matches the Rfam family "Bacterial small subunit ribosomal RNA", at positions 30 to 507 of the family's 1533-position model. The record is from RNAcentral.